RNAcentral lists this ribosomal RNA (467 nucleotides) under uncultured bacterium. RNAcentral's name for it is "partial 16S ribosomal RNA". It matches the Rfam family "Bacterial small subunit ribosomal RNA", at positions 28 to 507 of the family's 1533-position model. The record is from RNAcentral.
GAUGAACGCUGGCGGCGCGCCUAACACAUGCAAGUCGAACGAUUAAAGCACCUUCGGGUGUGUUUAAAGUGGCGAACGGGUGAGUAACACGUGGGCAACCUGCCCCCUUCAUUUGGAUAGCCACGGGCAAACGUGGAUAAUACCGAAUACUUCGAGUCUUCCGCAUGGAAGACUCGAGAAAGCUCGGGCGGAGAGGGAUGGGCCCGCGGCCUGUUAGCUUGUUGGUGGGGUAACGGCCUACCAAGGCAAUGAUGGGUAGCUGGGAUGAGAGACUGACCAGCCAGAUUGGGACUGAGACACGGCCCAGACUCCUACGGGAGGCAGCAGUGGGGAAUCUUGCACAAUGGGCGAAAGCCUGAUGCAGCGACGCCGCGUGCGGGAUGAAGGCCUUCGGGUUGUAAACCGCUUUCGGCUGGGACGAGGCGAAAGUGACGGUACCGGCAGAAGAAGCACCGGCUAACUACGUG